CCUUAAAGCAUAAUGGAAUCUAAUCUUCAUAUCCUUAUCCCUUUAGCAUGAUUGCUCAUUAUUAAAUUAAAUAAACUAGACCUAGAGAUUUAUAGAUUUCGUUGUCUUGAUUAAGAAAAAUGAGAUCUAUUCACUCAUCUACUCCAUAAAACACAAUAAUUUCACAAACCAUCUAAAGUAAAAAUCAAUUCAAGCAACAACCCACAUCUAUCCAUGAAUGAAUAUAGAAGUAUAUGAAUUCUAGAAAGAAUAGAGUGAAACAUGACUAAAAAGGGCUAGUCCGAUCACCAUAAAAUAUAAUCAUGAAAAUACUUGAUUCGAUUGCUUGAUCUUUGGACUUGACACAUUGAAUCCGUUUCUUGACUUAAUCUAAUUUGGCCUCAAAAUUUUUUAGAAAUUCUUCUGGAUUCAAAGCCCUACAUUUAGCCCUUUUAUCACCAUACAAAACUUGCUUCUUGUUACAACCCCGAUCAUCAUAUUGCUGCUUCCGUUUGUUAUUAAGAGACCUAUUUUGGUACAAAUCGAUCACUUGCUAUACAUCGCUAUGAUUUUCGGGCCAAGAAUCAAUCUGUCCGUCGGGCCCUAAGAUCAUGGCACAAGCUUUCACGUUACAUGAAACUGAUGAUUCCAUUGUGUUUCUUCUUUAUGCAUUCUUUUCUUGUCAAAAAUUCCUUUUUCUUGGCCCUCAACACAUCAUUCUUGAAAAUUUUUGUUUCGGCCCUCGAAUGAUUGUCCAUUCCACUACCAGUGAUUUUUCUUGGACGUGAAGUGUUUAUAUUACAAGAAGAGAGAAUUGAAACAGAGAGUAAUCAAGAUUGAGACAGUCGUAAUGUAAUUGAAACAGUGAGAAAUCAAGAUGAGACAGUAGUAAUGUAAUUGAAACAAAGAGAAAUCAAGAGACGUUGGGUUCACAGGCGGGAAUUGCAAUUAUCUAUUGUGUGUUCUAGGGCUUCC
RNAcentral lists this long non-coding RNA (954 nucleotides) under Olea europaea subsp. europaea. Lineage: Eukaryota; Viridiplantae; Streptophyta; Magnoliopsida; Lamiales; Oleaceae. The record is from RNAcentral.